CAAUAUACAACCUGAAAAGAAAUUGACUUUAACUUUUACAGCACAUAGUUCCAGCUAGAAGAUUCCAUGACUGAACACAUACCAUGAUUAAACACAUAACUCAAAAUUCCCUCUUUAAUUAGAUUCAUUAAUCUACAAAGAAAGAGCUAACAGCGGGGCCAUAAUCCCCUGGCUUAAUGUCAUUCAAUGACCUAAAAAUAAAACAAAACCACAAAGACCCUCAAGGGUUUCCUCAAGCCAAUAUAAAGCCAGGACCAAAACUACAGGGCCACAAAGUGGAAACACAGUUACUAGUACAACUGUUGCUAGCCAGUGGUCUAAAUGAGUUACUCUAGGUUGCAGUCAACACAAGCUAAGGACACUCACUACAUGUAUAUACUACAACAACACAGCAUUGGAACACACCCCUCACCCCGGAGAUAAAGGAAGUCAGCUCCACAACUUCUAUAUACAACUGUUGCUAGCCAGUGGUCAGUCAGUGUAAAUGAGUUACUCCAGGUUGCAAGCUAAGGAUACCACUACCAACACAGCAUUGAAACACACACCCUCCCAAGAGAAAGAUCGCUAAAUGAAUUCACGUACCUUGAAGCCUUUUGUGUGCAGUAACGAUCAUCCUGGAAUAAUGGACACGACCUCAACACAACCAUCGAUAGAGCUAGAGCUAGAGCCAGAGCCAUCCAAAGAAGCAGAAGAUGGAUC
Molecule: long non-coding RNA, 699 nt
Organism: Halichondria panicea
Lineage: Eukaryota; Metazoa; Porifera; Demospongiae; Suberitida; Halichondriidae
Exons: 3
Source: RefSeq, a predicted model, not a curated record